AUUGAACGCUGGCGGCAGGCCUAACACAUGCAAGUCGAGCGGUUGAAGGGAGCUUGCUCCCUGAUUCAGCGGCGGACGGGUGAGUAAUGCCAAGGAAUCUGCCAAUUAGUGGGGGACAACGUUUCGAAAGGAAAGCUAAUACCGCAUACGUCCUACGGGAGAAAGCAGGGGACCUUCGGGCCUUGCGCGAAUAGAUGAGCGUAGGUCGGAUUAGCUUGUUGGUAAGGUAAUGGCUCACCAAGGCGACGAUCCGUAACUGGUGUGAGAGGAUGGUCAGUCACACUGGAACUGAGCCACGGUCCGGACUCCUACGGGAGGCAGCAGUGGGGAAUAUUGGACAAUGGGCGAAAGCCGGAUCCAGCCAUGCCGCGUGUGUAAAGAAGGUCUUCGGAUUGUAAAGCACUUUAAGUUGGGAGGAAGGGUUGUAGAUUAAUACUCUGCAAUUUUGACGUUACCGACAGAAUAAGCACCGGCUAACUCUGUGCCAGCCGCCGCCGUAA
RNAcentral lists this ribosomal RNA (500 nucleotides) under uncultured bacterium. Its description in RNAcentral is "partial 16S ribosomal RNA". It matches the Rfam family "Bacterial small subunit ribosomal RNA", at positions 30 to 523 of the family's 1533-position model. The record is from RNAcentral.